Molecule: transfer RNA, 77 nt
Filed under: Diceroprocta semicincta
Lineage: Eukaryota; Metazoa; Arthropoda; Insecta; Hemiptera; Cicadidae
Description: tRNA-Cys
Source: RNAcentral
AUUAGGCAAUUUUAAUUUUCACCUGUUUAACAAAAACAUGUCUUUUAGAUUAAAUUAAAAGUCUAUUCUGCCCAAUG